This is a non-coding RNA of Ictidomys tridecemlineatus (thirteen-lined ground squirrel), 46 nucleotides long. The record is from Rfam. NCBI's taxonomy places the organism in Eukaryota, Metazoa, Chordata, Mammalia, Rodentia, Sciuridae.
CUAAAGGCUCUUUUAAGAGCCAUCACUGGGCCCCAAAGACUGUGUG